CACCGGCAGCCCGAGUGGUGAUCACUAUUAUUGGGUCUAAAGGGUCCGUAGCCGGUUUAAUCAGUCUUCUGGGAAAUCUAAUCGCUUAACUAUUAGGCUUCCAGGGGAUACUGUUAGACUUGGGACCGGGAGAGGUAAGAGGUACUGCAGGGGUAGGAGUGAAAUCUUGUAAUCCCUGUGAGACCACCAGUGGCGAAGGCGUCUUACCAGAACGGGUCCGACGGUGAGGGACGAAAGCUGGGGGCACGAACCGGAUUAGAUACCCGGGUAGUCCCAGCUGUAAACGAUGCUCGUUAGGUGUCAGGAACGGUGCGACUGUUUCUGGUGCCGAAGGGAAGCCGUGAAACGAGCCACCUGGGAAGUACGGCCGCAAGGCUGAAACUUAAAGGAAUUGGCGGGGGAGCACUACAACGGGUGGAGCCUGCGGUUUAAUUGGACUCAACGCCGGAAAACUCACCGGGGGCGACAGCAAUAUGUAGGUCAGGUUAAAGGUCUUACCUGAAUCGCUGAGAGGAGGUGCAUGGCCGUCGUCAGUUCGUACUGUGAAGCAUCCUGUUAAGUCAGGCAACGAGCAAGACCCGUGCCCACUGUUACCAGCAUAUCCUUUAUGGAUGAUGGGGACUCUGUGGGGACCGCUGCUGCUAAAGCAGAGGAAGGUGCGGGCUACGGUAGGUCAGUAUGCCCCGAAUCUCCCGGGCUACACGCGGGCUACAAUGGUUGGGACAAUGGGUAUCUACUCCGAAAGGAGUUGGCAAUCUCUUAAACCCAAUCGUAGUUCGAAUUGAGGGCUGUAACUCGCCCUCAUGAAGCUGGAAUCCGUAGUAAUCGCGUUUCAACAUAGCGCGGU
RNAcentral lists this ribosomal RNA (847 nucleotides) under uncultured archaeon. Its description in RNAcentral is "bacterial SSU rRNA". It matches the Rfam family "Archaeal small subunit ribosomal RNA", at positions 474 to 1319 of the family's 1478-position model. The record is from RNAcentral.